Molecule: long non-coding RNA, 224 nt
Filed under: Lathyrus oleraceus (garden pea)
Lineage: Eukaryota; Viridiplantae; Streptophyta; Magnoliopsida; Fabales; Fabaceae
Description: Pisum sativum (pea) long non-coding RNA (PSAT_LNC027401)
Source: RNAcentral
AUCCCAAAGGAGGGAAAGGAAACGCUCCAAGUAAACCUGGAAAAAAAGGAAAGGAAAAGACAAGGUCUCGCAACCAAAUCUUGGGUUCGGAAGUCGAUUAUGCGAAGGGAAGGUGUUAGCACCCCUACGCAUCCGUAGUACUCUACGGGAUCCACUCUUGUUGUUCUUGUCUAAAGGGUGUGGGUUUAUCUAAUGUACUAUUUGCUAAAAGAGGGGGUCAAAAG